RNAcentral lists this ribosomal RNA (461 nucleotides) under uncultured Bifidobacterium sp. RNAcentral's name for it is "bacterial SSU rRNA". It matches the Rfam family "Bacterial small subunit ribosomal RNA", at positions 204 to 675 of the family's 1533-position model. The record is from RNAcentral. Lineage: Bacteria; Bacillati; Actinomycetota; Actinomycetes; Bifidobacteriales; Bifidobacteriaceae.
AAGCCUUUGCGGCAUGGGAUGGGGUCGCGUCCUAUCAGCUUGAUGGCGGGGUAACGGCCCACCAUGGCUUCGACGGGUAGCCGGCCUGAGAGGGCGACCGGCCACAUUGGGACUGAGAUACGGCCCAGACUCCUACGGGAGGCAGCAGUGGGGAAUAUUGCACAAUGGGCGCAAGCCUGAUGCAGCGACGCCGCGUGAGGGAUGGAGGCCUUCGGGUUGUAAACCUCUUUUGUUAGGGAGCAAGGCACUUUGUGUUGAGUGUACCUUUCGAAUAAGCACCGGCUAACUACGUGCCAGCAGCCGCGGUAAUACGUAGGGUGCAAGCGUUAUCCGGAAUUAUUGGGCGUAAAGGGCUCGUAGGCGGUUCGUCGCGUCCGGUGUGAAAGUCCAUCGCUUAACGGUGGAUCCGCGCCGGGUACGGGCGGGCUUGAGUGCGGUAGGGGAGACUGGAAUUCCCGGUG